Molecule: ribosomal RNA, 253 nt
Filed under: uncultured bacterium
Lineage: Bacteria
Description: partial 16S ribosomal RNA
Rfam family: Bacterial small subunit ribosomal RNA
Source: RNAcentral
UACGAAGGGGGCUAGCGUUGCUCGGAAUUACUGGGCGUAAAGCGCACGUAGGCGGCUCUUUAAGUCGGAGGUGAAAUCCUGGAGCUCAACUCCAGAACUGCCUUCGAUACUGAAGAGCUCGAGUCCGGGAGGGGUGAGUGGAACUGCGAGUGUAGAGGUGAAAUUCGUAGAUAUUCGCAAGAACACCAGUGGCGAAGGCGGCUCACUGGCCCGGUACUGACGCUGAGGUGCGAAAGCGUGGGGAGCAAACAGG